Molecule: ribosomal RNA, 158 nt
Filed under: Stachybotrys levisporus
Lineage: Eukaryota; Fungi; Ascomycota; Sordariomycetes; Hypocreales; Stachybotryaceae
Description: Stachybotrys levispora 5.8S ribosomal RNA
Rfam family: 5.8S ribosomal RNA
About the family: 5.8S ribosomal RNA (5.8S rRNA) is a component of the large subunit of the eukaryotic ribosome. It is transcribed by RNA polymerase I as part of the 45S precursor that also contains 18S and 28S rRNA.
Source: RNAcentral
AAACUUUUAACAACGGAUCUCUUGGCUCUGGCAUCGAUGAAGAACGCAGCGAAAUGCGAUAAGUAAUGUGAAUUGCAGAAUUCAGUGAAUCAUCGAAUCUUUGAACGCACAUUGCGCCCGUCAGCAUUCUGGCGGGCAUGCCUGUCCGAGCGUCAUUU